UGGGGAAUAUUGGACAAUGGACCAAAAGUCUGAUCCAGCAAUUCUGUGUGCACGAUGACGUUUUUCGGAAUGUAAAGUGCUUUCAGUUGGGAAGAAAAAAAUGACGGUACCAACAGAAGAAGUGACGGCUAAAUACGUGCCAGCAGCCGCGGUAAUACGUAUGUCACAAGCGUUAUCCGGAUUUAUUGGGCGUAAAGCGCGUCUAGGUGGUUAUGUAAGUCUGAUGUGAAAAUGCAGGGCUCAACUCUGUAUUGCGUUGGAAACUGCACGACUAGAGUACUGGAGAGGUAAGCGGAACUACAAGUGUAGAGGUGAAAUUCGUAGAUAUUUGUAGGAAUGCCGAUGGGGAAGCCAGCUUACUGGACAGAUACUGACGCUAAAGCGCGAAAGCGUGGGUAGCAAACAGGAUUAGAUACCCUGGUAGUCCACGCCGUAAACGAUGAUUACUAGGUGUUGGGGGUCGAACCUCAGCGCCCAAGCUAACGCGAUAAGUAAUCCGCCUGGGGAGUACGUACGCAAGUAUG
RNAcentral lists this ribosomal RNA (524 nucleotides) under uncultured bacterium. RNAcentral's name for it is "bacterial SSU rRNA". It matches the Rfam family "Bacterial small subunit ribosomal RNA", at positions 355 to 896 of the family's 1533-position model. The record is from RNAcentral.